This is a long non-coding RNA of Oreochromis aureus, 648 nucleotides long. RefSeq lists it as uncharacterized. The record is from RefSeq and is a predicted model, not a curated record. The transcript has 2 exons. NCBI's taxonomy places the organism in Eukaryota, Metazoa, Chordata, Actinopteri, Cichliformes, Cichlidae.
AUUGUAGUUAGUCUUUGUUAAAUUGUCUGUUAUAUGUCAAUAGAUACGUAUGUCACAAAUAAAAGUUUCUUGUAAAUUAUGUUUUUGUAAAGAAUUUUCUCCCAAAUCUCUUACAUGCUAACUGUAACGUGUUAUUUCUGCUAAAACCUGAACUUAAAUGUGUAUAUGGUGUUUAUCUGUUUUUCUCUCUGUUUUAGAUGCUCAUAUCAAUUUGGAAUUCUGCCUCCAAGCCAGAAUUGCAGGAAUGCACCACAUGUUGGCUGUUUCACUGCCCUCUGUGCCCCACUCUCAGCCCUACUGUCAGGGCAAAGAUCGAGGAGCAAAUAAAUGGACACAUCAAAAAUGCUUUGCCUUUCAAAGACAAAAUGAUAUGCCGGUGCACUUUCACUGCCCUGUCUGUAACAUGACAGUCAUACAGCGUGGGGAUAUGGCAAGGCAAUUAUUGUCAUGUCAGCAUUCAGGACUGCUCCCCGCUGCACUCUCCGUGGAGCCCCAUCUCCCUCUCGAUGUCUCCAGCAUAUAAACCAUUUUCUGAAUCUUCAGUAGAACAUUCAUGUGCUCUACCCUCUGUGCUAAAUGACACUGUGGCUUGUGAAAAGUCCUUGAAAAUGAAGUGCCCUCACUGUGGUCUUAGUCUUCUUAAAAAAA